UAGGCAGCCACCACAGAGGACAUCUGUUUGC
This 31-nucleotide non-coding RNA is filed under the name Homo sapiens (human). The record is from RNAcentral. Lineage: Eukaryota; Metazoa; Chordata; Mammalia; Primates; Hominidae.